This 109-nucleotide transfer RNA is filed under the name Escherichia coli. RNAcentral's name for it is "tRNA-Pro". It matches the Rfam family "tRNA". Rfam says of the family: Transfer RNA (tRNA) molecules are approximately 80 nucleotides in length. Their secondary structure includes four short double-helical elements and three loops (D, anti-codon, and T loops). The record is from RNAcentral. Lineage: Bacteria; Pseudomonadati; Pseudomonadota; Gammaproteobacteria; Enterobacterales; Enterobacteriaceae.
GCGAAGGUGGCGGAAUUGGUAGACGCGCUAGCUUCAGGUGUUAGUGUCCUUACUUGGUAGCGCAACUGGUUUGGGACCAGUGGGUCGGAGGUUCGAAUCCUCUCUCGCC